RNAcentral lists this ribosomal RNA (795 nucleotides) under uncultured Bacteroidota bacterium. RNAcentral describes it as "bacterial SSU rRNA". It matches the Rfam family "Bacterial small subunit ribosomal RNA", at positions 26 to 819 of the family's 1533-position model. Lineage: Bacteria; Pseudomonadati; Bacteroidota. The record is from RNAcentral.
GGAUGGAACGCUAGCGGCAGGCCUAACACAUGCAAGUCGAGGGGUAUAUGUCUUCGGAUAUAGAGACCGGCGCACGGGUGCGUAACGCGUAUGCAAUCUACCUUUUACAGGGGAAUAGCCCAGAGAAAUUUGGAUUAAUGCCCCAUAGUAUAUAAGAAUCGCAUGGUUUUUAUAUUAAAGUUCCAACGGUAAAAGAUGAGCAUGCGUCCCAUUAGUUAGUUGGUAAGGUAACGGCUUACCAAGACAAUGAUGGGUAGGGGUCCUGAGAGGGAGAUCCCCCACACUGGUACUGAGACACGGACCAGACUCCUACGGGAGGCAGCAGUGAGGAAUAUUGGACAAUGGGCGCAAGCCUGAUCCAGCCAUGCCGCGUGCAGGAAGACGGUCCUAUGGAUUGUAAACUGCUUUUGUACAGGAAGAAACACUCCCUCGUGAGGGAGCUUGACGGUACUGUAAGAAUAAGGAUCGGCUAACUCCGUGCCAGCAGCCGCGGUAAUACGGAGGAUCCAAGCGUUAUCCGGAAUCAUUGGGUUUAAAGGGUCCGUAGGCGGUUUAAUAAGUCAGUGGUGAAAGCCCAUCGCUCAACGAUGGAACGGCCAUUGAUACUGUUAGACUUGAAUUAUUAGGAAGUAACUAGAAUAUGUAGUGUAGCGGUGAAAUGCUUAGAUAUUACAUGGAAUACCAAUUGCGAAGGCAGGUUACUACUAAUGGAUUGACGCUGAUGGACGUAAGCGUGGGGAGCGAACAGGAUUAGAUACCCCUGGUAGUCCACGGCCGGUAAACGAUGGAUACUAG